RNAcentral lists this transfer RNA (74 nucleotides) under Thermoplasmata archaeon M11B2D. Its description in RNAcentral is "tRNA-Val". It matches the Rfam family "tRNA". Rfam says of the family: Transfer RNA (tRNA) molecules are approximately 80 nucleotides in length. RNAcentral also lists the same sequence under 1 other name. The record is from RNAcentral. Lineage: Archaea; Methanobacteriati; Thermoplasmatota; Thermoplasmata.
GGCCGGUUAGUUCAAUGGGAGAACGCCGCUCUUACAAGGCGGGUACGAUAGUUCGAUUCUAUCACCGGCUACCA